CCUACGGGAGGCAGCAGUGGGGAAUAUUGCACAAUGGGGGAAACCCUGAUGCAGCGACGCCGCGUGAGUGAAGACGUACUUCGUUAUGUAAAGCUCUAUCAGCAGGGAAGAAAAUGACGGUACCUGAGUAAGAAGCCCCGGCUAACUACGUGCCAGCAGCCGCGGUAAUCCGUAGGGGGCAAGCGUUAUCCGGAUUUACUGGGUGUAAAGGGAGCGUAGACGGCAGUGCAAGUCUGGAGUGAAAGGCGGGGGCUCAACCCCCGGACUGCUCUGGAAAAUGGACGGCUGGAGUGCAGGAGAGGUAAGUGGAAUGCCUGGUGUAGCGGUGAAAUGCGUAGAUAUUAGGAAGAACACCAGUUGCGAAGGCGGCAUACUGGACUGUAACUGACGUUGAGGCUCGAAAGCGUGGGGAGCGAACAGGAUUAGAUACCCCUGUAGUC
This 440-nucleotide ribosomal RNA is filed under the name uncultured bacterium. RNAcentral describes it as "partial 16S ribosomal RNA". It matches the Rfam family "Bacterial small subunit ribosomal RNA", at positions 338 to 795 of the family's 1533-position model. The record is from RNAcentral.